GACGAACGCUGGCGGCGUGCCUAAUACAUGCAAGUAGAACGCACAGUUUAUACCGUAGCUUGCUACACCAUACACUGUGAGUUGCGAACGGGUGAGUAACGCGUAGGUAACCUGCCUGGUAGCGGGGGAUAACUAUUGGAAACGAUAGCUAAUACCGCAUAAUAUUAAUUAUUGCAUGAUAAUUGAUUGAAAGAUGCAAUUGCAUCACUACCAGAUGGACCUGCGUUGUAUUAGCUAGUAGGUGAGGUAACGGCUCACCUAGGCGACGAUACAUAGCCGACCUGAGAGGGUGAUCGGCCACACUGGGACUGAGACACGGCCCAGACUCCUACGGGAGGCAGCAGUAGGGAAUCUUCGGCAAAGGACGAAAGUCUGACCGAGCAACGCCGCGUGAGUGAAGAAGGUUUUCGGAUCGUAAAGCUCUGUUGUAAGAGAAGAACGGGUGUGAGAGUGGAAAGUUCACACUGUGACGGUAUCUUACCAGAAAGGGACGGCUAACUACGU
RNAcentral lists this ribosomal RNA (504 nucleotides) under uncultured bacterium. RNAcentral's name for it is "partial 16S ribosomal RNA". It matches the Rfam family "Bacterial small subunit ribosomal RNA", at positions 28 to 506 of the family's 1533-position model. The record is from RNAcentral.